ACACAAAUCCUUGGGGAAUCUAGCUAAAAAGCAGAUUCUGACUUAGUGGGCCUGAGAUCAGGCUGAACAUUCUGCAUUUCUCACAAGCUCCCAGAUGAUACUGAU
RNAcentral lists this microRNA precursor (105 nucleotides) under Marmota monax (woodchuck). Lineage: Eukaryota; Metazoa; Chordata; Mammalia; Rodentia; Sciuridae. The record is from RNAcentral.